GAUGAACGCUGGCGGCGUGCCUAAUACAUGCAAGUCGAGCGAACAGAUGAGGAGCUUGCUCCUCUGACGUUAGCGGCGGACGGGUGAGUAACACGUGGAUAACCUACCUAUAAGACUGGGAUAACUUCGGGAAACCGGAGCUAAUACCGGAUAAUAUAUUGAACCGCAUGGUUCAAUAGUGAAAGACGGCUUUGCUGUCACUUAUAGAUGGAUCCGCGCCGCAUUAGCUAGUUGGGAAGGUAACGGCUUACCAAGGCAACGAGGCGUAGCCGACCGCAGAGGGGGGUAGGCCACCCGGGAGCGUGGACACGGACAAGGCGCCUGAGGGAGGGAGCAGUAGGCAACGGUAGGCAAUGGGCGAAAGCCUGACGGAGCAACGCCGCGUGAGUGAUGAAGGUCUUCGGAUCGUAAAACUCUGUUAUUAGGGAAGAACAAAUGUGUAAGUAAAUAUGCACGUCUUGACGGUACCGAAUCAGAAAGCCACGGCUAACUACGUG
Molecule: ribosomal RNA, 497 nt
Filed under: uncultured bacterium
Lineage: Bacteria
Description: partial 16S ribosomal RNA
Rfam family: Bacterial small subunit ribosomal RNA
Source: RNAcentral